UUGAUAUCUGGGAAUAGAUUAGAUUAUUGAUCUCUUCAUGGUGCCCGCAGCCCAGUCUAACUUUAAGGAUUGGCCAGCGACAGUUAAAAGUCGAAAAGUAAGUUUUGGCUUAACCUCAGGCUCUCGUUUGAAGUCAAUCCAUAUCAAUGUACAUCUCUCAUCACAUUGACAAUAUAUGGCUCUGGUUUAACGGCAUUGAGGGUAUGUGGAUAGCUAGACUAGUGUUAAUUUUCCUUUUAUCAUAGUAC
Molecule: non-coding RNA, 248 nt
Organism: Schizosaccharomyces pombe (fission yeast)
Lineage: Eukaryota; Fungi; Ascomycota; Schizosaccharomycetes; Schizosaccharomycetales; Schizosaccharomycetaceae
Source: the annotation of a GenBank genome assembly